RNAcentral lists this ribosomal RNA (260 nucleotides) under uncultured prokaryote. RNAcentral's name for it is "partial 16S ribosomal RNA". It matches the Rfam family "Bacterial small subunit ribosomal RNA", at positions 524 to 782 of the family's 1533-position model. The record is from RNAcentral.
UACGUAGGGGCUAGCGUUAUCCGGAAUUACUGGGCGUAAAGAAGCUCGUAGGCGGCUCAGCAAGUCGGCUGUGAAAUCCCGAGGCUCAACCUCGGAACUGCAGUCGAUACUGCUGUGGCUAGAGUCUGGUAGAGGAGAAUGGAAUUCCCGGUGUAGCGGUGAAAUGCGCAGAUAUCGGGAGGAACACCAGUAGCGAAGGCGGUUCUCUGGGCCAGUACUGACGCUGAGGAGCGAAAGCGUGGGUAGCAAACAGGAUUAGA